Molecule: ribosomal RNA, 565 nt
Filed under: fungal sp. HAB6S12
Lineage: Eukaryota; Fungi
Description: eukaryotic LSU rRNA
Rfam family: 5.8S ribosomal RNA (bases 188-341)
Source: RNAcentral
CGGGGGCGCAGGCGCACCCAGAAACCCUUUGUGACUUAUACCUAUUAUCGUUGCCUCGGCGCUGGCUGCCCUGCCCCCUCGGGGGCGGGGGCCCCCUUCUCCGGAGGGGACAGCAGAGCCCGCCGGCGGCCUACUUAACUCUUGUUUUUACUGAGUAUCUUCUGAGUAAAGCUUCUAAAUGAAUCAAAACUUUCAACAACGGAUCUCUUGGUUCUGGCAUCGAUGAAGAACGCAGCGAAAUGCGAUAAGUAAUGUGAAUUGCAGAAUUCAGUGAAUCAUCGAAUCUUUGAACGCACAUUGCGCCCUCUGGUAUUCCAGAGGGCAUGCCUGUUCGAGCGUCAUUUCAACCCUCAAGCCUAGCUUGGUGUUGGGGCAUUACCUGAACUGUUUCUUUACAGGAGGGUAAGCCCUGAAAUUCAGUGGCGAGCUCGCCAGGACUCCGAGCGCAGUAGUAAAACCCUCGCUUUGGAUCGUACUGGCGCGGCCCUGCCGUAAAACCCCCAACUUCUGAAAAUUUGACCUCGGAUCAGGUAGGAAUACCCGCUGAACUUAAGCAUAUCAAUAG